RNAcentral lists this ribosomal RNA (371 nucleotides) under uncultured Rickettsia sp. RNAcentral describes it as "bacterial SSU rRNA". It matches the Rfam family "Bacterial small subunit ribosomal RNA", at positions 100 to 507 of the family's 1533-position model. Lineage: Bacteria; Pseudomonadati; Pseudomonadota; Alphaproteobacteria; Rickettsiales; Rickettsiaceae. The record is from RNAcentral.
GACGGGUGAGUAACACGUGGGAAUCUACCCAUCAGUACGGAAUAACUUUUAGAAAUAAAAGCUAAUACCGUAUAUUCUCUACGGAAGAAAGAUUUAUCGCUGAUGGAUGAGCCCGCGUCAGAUUAGGUCGUUGGUGAGGUAACGGCUCACCAAGCCGACGAUCUGUAGCUGGUCUGAGAGGAUGAUCAGCCACACUGGGACUGAGACACGGCCCAGACUCCUACGGGAGGCAGCAGUGGGGAAUAUUGGACAAUGGGCGAAAGCCUGAUCCAGCAAUACCGAGUGAGUGAUGAAGGCCUUAGGGUUGUAAAGCUCUUUUAGCAAGGAAGAUAAUGACGUUACUUGCAGAAAAAGCCCCGGCUAACUCCGUG